Molecule: unclassified non-coding RNA, 210 nt
Filed under: Hevea brasiliensis (rubber tree)
Lineage: Eukaryota; Viridiplantae; Streptophyta; Magnoliopsida; Malpighiales; Euphorbiaceae
Source: RNAcentral
CCCCAGAAAACGAAAAGAAAGUAAAAAUAAAGUAUAUAAGAAAGAAAGGACGCACCUUGUAUAAGUAUUCAUUAACAAAAAUGAAAGCAUUGAAUUGAAUGUUAAAACCCGGUGAUUAGAUGAUGAUUGCAGCUUUCCACAAUCAUAAAAUUCGAAGGGAAUAGAAACCCUAAACUACACUUGGAUUAGCAGUUUUAUAGGCAAUAAAUU